Molecule: ribosomal RNA, 425 nt
Filed under: uncultured bacterium
Lineage: Bacteria
Description: partial 16S ribosomal RNA
Rfam family: Bacterial small subunit ribosomal RNA
Source: RNAcentral
GUGGGGAAUAUUGGACAAUGGGCGCAAGCCUGAUCCAGCCAUGCCGCGUGAGUGAUGAAGGCCUUAGGGUUGUAAAGCUCUUUCAGUGGGGACGAUAAUGACGGUACCCACAGAAGAAGCCCCGGCUAACUUCGUGCCAGCAGCCGCGGUAAUACGAAGGGGGCUAGCGUUGUUCGGAUUUACUGGGCGUAAAGCGCACGUAGGCGGAUCGUUAAGUCGGGGGAGAAAUCCUGGAGCUCAACUCCAGAACUGCCUUCGAUACUGGCGAUCUUGAGUCCGGAAGAGGUGAGUGGAACUCCUAGUGUAGAGGUGGAAUUCGUAGAUAUUAGGAAGAACACCAGUGGCGAAGGCGGCUCACUGGUCCGGUACUGACGCUGAGGUGCGAAAGCGUGGGGAGCAAACAGGAUUAGAAACCCUGGUAGUCC